RNAcentral lists this transfer RNA (71 nucleotides) under Loxodonta africana (African savanna elephant). It matches the Rfam family "tRNA". From Rfam's summary of the family: Transfer RNA (tRNA) molecules are approximately 80 nucleotides in length. Their secondary structure includes four short double-helical elements and three loops (D, anti-codon, and T loops). Lineage: Eukaryota; Metazoa; Chordata; Mammalia; Proboscidea; Elephantidae. The record is from Rfam by way of RNAcentral.
GCAGUGGUGGUUCAGUGGUAGAAUUCACACCUUCCAUCUGGGAGACCUGGAUUCAGCUCCCAGCCAAUGCA